UCUGAUUCGAGUGCGGACGGUAACAAUGUAAUCGCGAACGAAAAUUUUAAUUUAUCAGUGGAAUUUAAAGUGAACAAACAAAUGACCUGUGAAAAUCUAACGGGCUAUAGCUUUGUAAGUGAGGUGUUAAUUCGUGUUCUGUGCGUAUGGACUCCGCAGUAAUUUCAAACUCAUUUGGCUCCUCCAGACAUGGGAUAUCCAAACUGUCGUCGAUGCAGGGCUCUACGCCCGCUCUUGGUAUGCUUUCAUCCAUCGUUAAGCAGAAUACGAUGUUAGGCGGACUUGAAAUAGACCGAAUAGAAUUGCCUUCGAACUCAGGGCUUUGCUUAGGCUUGGAAAUGUCAGUCCCGUUACCUGUUGUGGGUCGAAUUCCAAACGCCUGCCAGAAGUCAUAGCCGCAGAUCAGCUCCUUAGCUAUUUCCGGGAUAACGACGGUUGGGACAACCCUAGUUUUACCAUCGAAUGUAAAAGGUUUAAGCGCUUUAUCAAAUCCAGAGAACUGAUGACAGAGAUGCUUGCUCCGGAGUCUAAGAGACCUUCGACUUCCGUACCUAGGAUUUGCACAGUAAUGUGUGGGCAGGUAACUAGGCUAAGAUUAAUAAUGAAAACUUGGUUAAAAUAGUUAUAACUUUCAUUUAAAGGGAUCUCUGAGAUAUUUUGAGUAGAAGAAGGUGGAUCCCGUCUGACUUCUUCUUUGAUUAGUUUUUUUCGUUCAUCUCUCCGUCAUGCUGAUUUGGGCAGUUGCUUUUCGUAACGUUUGGUUCACCACAAGCGUAGCAAUAGACCCGUUUUUGCUCUUGACAAUCUCGA
This is a long non-coding RNA of Aedes albopictus (Asian tiger mosquito), 810 nucleotides long. RefSeq lists it as uncharacterized. The record is from RefSeq and is a predicted model, not a curated record. Lineage: Eukaryota; Metazoa; Arthropoda; Insecta; Diptera; Culicidae. The transcript has 3 exons.